ACAAAUCUAACCUCACCAUAGGGCUUAGCUUGAAAGCCAUCUCCAAUAUGAGAAUUGUUAAGUUCAUAAUUCUUUGAUGUUUUUGCUUUUCUUAUGGAGCUAAUAAUCACCAUCAUCAAUAACCAACAAUCAAAAAUCCCAAAAUGAAAAACGAUAACAUGAGAUAACCAUCCUCGUUCUUCCCCUGCUCUGAAACUGAAAAUAAUGUACUUCAGUAAUUACAAACACCAAAAAAAUUAGACGUUAAGCAAAAAAUUUCAAUCUAAAGUAGUUGUUUAUGAGUCAAUCUAAAGCUUCUUCUAUACAAACAACAAAAUCUCAGGAUACAUUUUAAUUGAUUAUAAAAUCACCUGAUUUGUAGACGACUUGGGAAAGAUGUUUGAUUUCUUGUGUUUUGAAUGGAAAUUUGAAGGCUGAUGCUGCUGAUGUUGAGGGAUGGUCAUGAUCAACGGAGGAGGUGUCAAUUAAUAUGGAGAUAUAAGAGAACAGGAGGUGGAGGCGUCUGGAUGAAGAAGAAAACGAAGAGUUACACUUUGGGAAAACAGGAUUUAGUUAACCUUAGCCCACAAUUUAAGGCUCUUCUUCACCACUAAAGACUGCUUCAUCGAUAAUGUUGGCACAAAAAAGUGCCAAAAUCGAAGACUUAUAUGGCGGGAAUGGAGAUCGUAGGUGGUGUAGUUACCGGUUCAGAUGGGAGCACAAUCCUUAAUUAUGAAAGGAACCACCAGAGGCAAUUGAGUCAUGGGUAGGUUGAGAACCCGAUUGCUCCAGAAGAACCGCCGACUGUGAGGAACCUGGAGAGAAGAAGGAGGAAUCGUGGGACGACCGAAGACGGAAGGGUGAACGAUUAUUGUAAAUAGAGAGUUAUUAGGCUGGAGAGUGGUGCUGUUCCGGGAAGUGCGGUUUAGCCAUAAGCAGCGAACACCUUUUGGACGCCGUUUGGCUGCGCCUUGUGAUCCGGUGUAGAUAAUUUGACUGUUU
RNAcentral lists this long non-coding RNA (981 nucleotides) under Lactuca sativa (garden lettuce). RNAcentral describes it as "long non-coding RNA (LSAT_LNC003817)". Lineage: Eukaryota; Viridiplantae; Streptophyta; Magnoliopsida; Asterales; Asteraceae. The record is from RNAcentral.